Molecule: long non-coding RNA, 234 nt
Filed under: Panax ginseng (ginseng)
Lineage: Eukaryota; Viridiplantae; Streptophyta; Magnoliopsida; Apiales; Araliaceae
Description: long non-coding RNA (PGIN_LNC011078)
Source: RNAcentral
GACAUGUCUCCAUUGAAAACCAAUGUUUCCAAGCUCAAUAUCAAAAUUCGACUUCUAUUCCGAGAAUUUCACGAAUUCGACGAUUAUCGUCCAAUCGUGUGAAUUCCGGUAAAACUUCGUUACUUGAGAUUUUUAAACCAUUUCAAUCGGAUGCAAUCCAUCAUACUAAUAUCUUGACAUACAUACUUCAUUAACUUAUAAUCAUGAUAAGUUAUUACUUAUUAUUGAUGAGUU